GACGAACGCUGGCGGCGUGCUUAACACAUGCAAGUCGAGCGGUAAGGCCCUUUCGGGGUACGACGAGCGGCGAACGGGUGAGUAACACGUGGGUGACCUGCCCUCAGCUCUGGGAUAAGCCUGGGAAACCGGGUCUAAUACUGGAUAUGACUCCAUGACGCAUGUUGUGGGGUGGAAAGCCUUGUGCGGCUGAGGAUGGGCCCGCGGCCUAUCAGCUUGUUGGCGGGGUGAUGGCCUACCAAGGCGACGACGGGUAGCCGGCCUGAGAGGGCGACCGGCCACACUGGGACUGAGACACGGCCCAGACUCCUACGGGAGGCAGCAGUGGGGAAUCUUGCGCAAUGGGCGAAAGCCUGACGCAGCGACGCCGCGUGAGGGAUGACGGCCUCGG
Molecule: ribosomal RNA, 391 nt
Filed under: uncultured bacterium
Lineage: Bacteria
Description: bacterial SSU rRNA
Rfam family: Bacterial small subunit ribosomal RNA
Source: RNAcentral